AUUGAACGCUGGCGGCAGGCCUAACACAUGCAAGUCGAGCGGAUGAAGGGAGCUUGCUCCUGGAUUCAGCGGCGGACGGGUGAGUAAUGCCUAGGAAUCUGCCUGGUAGUGGGGGAUAACGUCCGGAAACGGGCGCUAAUACCGCAUACGUCCUGAGGGAGAAAGUGGGGGAUCUUCGGACCUCACGCUAUCAGAUGAGCCUAGGUCGGAUUAGCUAGUUGGUGGGGUAAAGGCCUACCAAGGCGACGCUCCGUAACUGGUCUGAGAGGAUGAUCAGUCACACUGGAACUGAGACACGGUCCAGACUCCUACGGGAGGCAGCAGUGGGGAAUAUUGGACAAAGGGCGAAAGCCUGAUCCAGCCAUGCCGCGUGUGUGAAGAAGGUCUUCGGAUUGUAAAGCACUUUAAGUUGGGAGGAAGGGCAGUAAGUUAAUACCUUGCUGUUUUGACGUUACCAACAGAAUAAGCACCGGCUAACUUCGUG
RNAcentral lists this ribosomal RNA (484 nucleotides) under uncultured bacterium. Its description in RNAcentral is "partial 16S ribosomal RNA". It matches the Rfam family "Bacterial small subunit ribosomal RNA", at positions 30 to 507 of the family's 1533-position model. The record is from RNAcentral.